UGGUGUCGACGAUGCAUAUUUAAACAGGGUGGUUACAGGAAGUGGGUUGCUCAUCACUUUCCCACUAGUUGUUCCCGUUUUACUCAUGAACGACGGUCCGUUUGCUGCCUCUGCAAAGCUCGAAUCCGACCGGUGAAAUAAGGUACAGUUAAAUAGUGCAUAUGUGCAACAGGUAUGUAAAUGUUAGUCGUGCAGUUUGGAAACUUUGUGACUAUGAAUGUAUGAUUUAUUCAGUUCCAUAGCCCGUAGAGAGAGUGUGUCCAAAAGUUGACGAUGAAAUUUAAAAAAGUAUUUUUAGAGUUGAAGGUGUAUAUAUUUAUAUCUGAUCUUUCUUUAAUAAAAUCUUUUAGAAAAACGAGCAACUCGCUAGUUAUUAUAUUAUAAUUUCGAAAUUCGCAACGUAAAAUUUCUCGGAGCUUUAAAUAAAGGAGCUUUAAAUAAAGUAAAAUCAAGAUACAACUAAGAGAACAAGGUCUUUUCUUUUCAGUUUUGUUACUUAAUUUUUUGUUAAAACUUUAUUAAAAGAUUGCUAAAACUUUCUUAUUUCCUAUAUAAAUUGUUUAUAUAAUAUUUUUCUUGGUCAUUUUUACACACAAAGAGGGAAUUAAAAUUAAACUUGUUAAAAGAUUUUUAUCCACAAUACGAUUGUAUGAAGUAAUAUAAUAUUUCAAAAUUAUCAUUAAUGGACUUACACAGGAAAACGACAAAUAUACGAUUAUGCGACAUCAAAGCAUGAUGAGAUUUGCUCAAAGGAUCGGCAAAGCCGAAAGCGUGCUUAAUUAUUUGUUGCACGAGCGCGUUAUUUACCCAACAACUCCACGACAAUUUGUCGGUUAAACAUAUGGCUACGUUUGUAGAAUUAAAGUGGAGCUGCUGAAACUAAUACGCUUGAGUUACCAAUGAAGUUACCAACUCAGCUAAAGUCAUUAACAUUAAUACGGACCAAUAACGCAACCCGUAUUAAUCGCAGCGUGUAAUAAAUUCUACCGAAAUUGGUACGCGCGCAAUUACGAUCUACCGGUUCUACCUUCUGGGUUCCGGGUUCUCCUUGCAACCCAGAAAUCCGGGUACCAAAUCUAAAAACGUUGUAACAAAAAGCAGGGAAAAUGUUGGGAUCGAUCUAUUCUACUACGGCGGAAGCUUUUUCGUGAAUUCCAACAAUUCUUCUAAAAUCUAUUCCGAGUGCAGAAUAAAUCUUGUGCCGUCAAAUACAGGGUUACAGAGUUUGCUCAGCGUGCGCACGCGUAUUUUCACGUAUUUUCCAUGUAUAUGGAAAUCUCCUUGUGAGAAUCGUCGCUCUGUUAUUACGAGUAAGUUCAGAGGAGCUCGGCUUGAAGCAGCAAACUCGACGCGCCGUCCCGACGUCUGGUAUUGCUUGCGGAGCAAUGAGUUCCUUAGGUAGGAUCAUCCACGUAGGAUCCGCGCGAUCUCGUUGACAAAUAAUAGCAGCAGCCGCAACAGUAGUAGUAGUAGCAGCAGCAGCAGCAGCAGCAGCAUAAUUAAUUCCUCAGGCAGAAAUAAAUUCCGCUAGAUGACUCGAAGCACGUGUGAACGUGAAAGCUCGGCUCGAGCGAUACUAUUUAUAGAAAAUGUGGAGACCAUUAAGGUAUCUGACAUAAAAGAGGCGGUCCCUUAUAUACGUCUCGGUGUGGAUCGCGAGAAAUUCGUCUACCUGGAGCUCCUCUUUGUCUGUCCGGCGAUGCGUUUCGACAUUUAUCUUGAGAUCUUCCUACCUGAGACUUCCCUUUAUCCUCCGAACAACAAUGAAACAAGGUCGCGUUUAUCAAGGCUACCAGCUCUAUUCACGGAAUAAAAUACGCCUGCAAAUUCGAUAUGUACACGAGCAGGACAAACAAUUCUGACGGCGCGUAUUUAGCGAAUAAUAAAUAAAUAAUAAUAAAUAAAACUUGACGAAUCACAGAUUUUUCGAAAAGGAACUUGUAGAUGCUGAGAUUUCUCGUGAAUCACCGACGACGGGACUACGAGGAUGAGGGUGAUCAGCACUCCUUUUCCGGGGUGACUCAUCCCCUUUAAUUCUAGAUGGAAGGACGCUCAGCAUUGGAGGCGCGAUGGUUCACGCACGGCUCGUGCGUAAAAACUCUCGCCGGAAUUUCAAGUAUUAGCGCACGCAAGCCCGGGCUUACACUAGGCAUCGAUUUUACAUCGCUCAGAGUGAAAACGCUCGUUAGUUUUUGCCGUUUCCGCGCGCACGGCAAUCUGCUUCUCUAGCUCGAUCGCUCGCUCGGCGUUUCCUUUCGCGUGCGCCCGUGUCUAUAAAAUCGAAUUAAGUGUUUUUCGACGGCCUCUUACGGCUCUCGCGCGUUUAAAAUUGCUGCCACCAUUCCGGCAGUGGUCGCUUAUAAAAGGUGAAAGUUUAACGAUGGCUUUCAGCGGCUCUCGCUGAGGCGGGCAAACGGGCGGACUUGGACCGCUCGCGCGUCGAGUAACAACCUCGCGAGGCGUCGUAAAGAUUACGCGCCGGAUAUACGCGUGGUCGAACGGCAAGCAUCGUAAAGAGGAUACUGGCCGAACGGUCGAUAGAGAUACCGAGCGCUCGAGGAUACUUGAGGACCGGAUAUUCUGCCAUGCCGAAAAAGGGAAUAAACUUCUUUGUCUUCCAAUGUGCCCAGCGCGAAGAGUUGUCGCACGAGGCACCGCUCGCAAUUAUCAGACGGAGGGCAAUUAAGACUUUACCUUAAUGAAAUAUUGGUUAUUUGACGAGGGAAACCGAGACGGGACUAGGAUGCUCGUGAGAACUUGUAGUUUCAUGACGGUGCGUGGGUGGACUGACAACUACGCCACUGGCAAAACACCACGAAGGCUUUCUUCGGGGGCUUUUAUUCUGCUGAGGGAUAAAAAAAGAAAAUUCCGUUAAGUUAGAAAAAAAGAUGUUUCACGCCGAUAUUGCGUGUUAUACACGUAGGCUGGAAACACUCGGUGUGAACGCUUACAUUCUGGAAUCCUGAAUGGCGUGAAAGAUCUCGGAGCUUUUAUUUUAAUAUUCGCCCAACGUAUCGUACGAUUAAAUGAUUAUUCGGUGCUUGGUGAAGAAUUAUAUACUGUUUACUGGGCAACACACGUCUGCUCUGAAUCUGAACGAUAUUCUUGAUGUUGCGCAAAUGUGCGAAAUUACAUUAAGCUUCUUUUUAAUACGUCAAUCGUGUAUACAAAUUGUCCAGUAUAAACGUUUCCUUUUUUGUUCGCAGUUUAAUGUGCAUUGGCGAGAAAACAAAUGGUGCAACUGCAUAAACGACUGACGUUUCGGUAUAUUUAAUCGAACAAUGGAGUCUUUUGUCUAUAUUUUUGCAAUUAAGAGUGAAAGUAGAUUAUCUGCACGGUGGUACACAGUAGCCGGAGUUAACUAACGAGAUGCAGUACAUAAAUGAAUCGAUCCACUUGGCUGUACCAACAUUUCCUACGUUCCGUGCAUGACAGGACUUGAUCAAAUAAAGUACGUUCUAGACUGGCUUUAAUUAAUAAGGACGUGUAUCCGAAAUGUGAUCCGACUGGUCAGUUCUGUCUCGUCUCAUCCUCAGCACCGGUUAAUGCUCUCUCGUCGUUCGAUGUCGUUGCACUCUUAUCCUUAAUGCGACGGAGUUAAACGUGCUGAGUGCCGUACACGAGGAGAACGAUUCCGUCCGAUGCUGCUUACAACUUCGCUCCUCGAAAAAAAGAGGAGAGAUGGGGUGACUGCGAAAAGGGCGAGCCGGCUUCAGCCGUGCGAACGCGAACUUAAAUCCUGUCGGAAUGAAUUAUUCCCGUUUUCCCCUCUGACCAUGGAGAUAACGCAACCCCAACGAGCUGUACACCCACCACGUAGAAAUAAGUCGGUCUCAGGUGGAUGAAUGCCGGAUCUCGCUUUGUUCUCGCCUUUGUGUCGUUGUCUCGAGGUAUUCGAGCGUUGAUGAACUGGAACAUGAUGCUUCUGCGAGUUCUUCUUCUAUAGUUUCAACUGGCUGCUAAUAAGUAUGUUUCACGUUACUUGAUUAUAUUUUGUGCUUUUAAUAUUUUGAUGCUUGAAAUAAAGUAUUAAUAACUUGA
Molecule: long non-coding RNA, 4041 nt
Organism: Ooceraea biroi (clonal raider ant)
Lineage: Eukaryota; Metazoa; Arthropoda; Insecta; Hymenoptera; Formicidae
Source: RefSeq, a predicted model, not a curated record